CGGGUGAGUAACACGUGAGUGACCUGCCUUUUAGACUGGAACAACUUACCGAAAGGUGAGCUAAUGCCGGAUGAGUUAUAUAAGUGCAUGUUUAUAUAGGAAAAGUUGGGGAGACCUGACGCUGAAAGAUGGACUCGCGUCCCAUUAGCUAGUUGGUAGGGUAAUGGCCUACCAAGGCGACGAUGGGUAGCCGACCUGAGAGGGUGGCCGGCCACACUGGGACUGAGACACGGCCCAGACUCCUACGGGAGGCAGCAG
This 258-nucleotide ribosomal RNA is filed under the name uncultured bacterium. RNAcentral describes it as "partial 16S ribosomal RNA". It matches the Rfam family "Bacterial small subunit ribosomal RNA", at positions 103 to 354 of the family's 1533-position model. The record is from RNAcentral.